AUUGCAAGGAAAUGUCAGUCUUUUUUUCCUAGCAUGAAAAAUUAUUUACACAUUUAUCAGAUUUUCUUGCAACUCCCUAAUUCCCCUACUUCUCAUUAAGAGGAAUAAAAGUUGAGAAUGUUUUUAUAGAACUGUCACAGACUCCAUCUACCUGCAGUGCCUCUUAAGCUAUCUCUCCCUUCUAAUCCUCUCUCCCCACUCCCUUUUUUCUUAUUUGCCCUAUACAUUUUUGUUGGACUCAUCUUUUAAAGUUGCAACCAGUUCCCCCUUUGCAAAAUCCCCAGUGCUUUUCCAGUCUCUGGCUUCGAUAAUCCGAUGGCUUUCUCGACCAUCUUUCCAGGUGUGUCAUCUAAGCUGGAUGUCCAGUAGUUCCUUGUGUUUAUGUCCGUGUUUCAAUUUCUUUGCUGAAGAAAUCCUCCAAACCUCUAGAGUAUGCUUUCUUUUCCUUCUUUUCUUUGUGUAGCCUGCUGAAAUCCUGUAGUUGACUUUGAUGCUGGAGAAUCCAUUGGAGAGAGCAUCACAGAUUACAAAGAAAUGAGGAGAUAAUACUAAGAACCAAAGCAAACAUGAAGCCCGUGGCAGUAUCACCAUGAAAUGACUGAGAGGAGGGGAAUUUCCCAUGAGUCAUGUCUUCACCCCAGGAAUCUGGGCAACCCUCCAGAGCUCCCAAAUGUGGAAGAGGUGAUUCUGUGUCAGCCCCAGCACUGGACACAUGUUUUAAAUUCAGAGGUAUUUUACGUGAAUAGGUGUCUGUGAGGUGAAAGAAAAACAUACUUAGCAUAUUAUUUGCAAAUUUAAUGAAGACAGUGUUUAAAGUAGGCAGAUACUACAUUUUGAUGGUUUUAGUCUAUAGUUUAUUUUUCAUUCAAGCAAGGUUGUCUGACGAAAGCUUUGUUUCUGUGCAAGGUUUGUGCAGCUCCAUGUGUUUUGCCUCUGUGGGACCCAGUGUGCCUUGUGGGGCAGGUGGCCAGCUCUGCUCUGUCAGUUGUUCUGUCUUAUCCAAGAGAAAGAAAAUACAUAUGGCCCUAGAGUUAUGAAAAUAGUCACUCUCCUUUUUACUUGGAGAGGCCUGAAACAGCCCAUUGCAUGGGGCUGCCUGUGUGUGCAGCACUGUCACAGUCCAGAGCCACCACACCUUCCAGGGGGACACUAUUUUGUGAAAUAAACCUGUAUGAUUAAGUUCUGCACCAUGAUAUAUAUCGUUAAAAAGAGAAAUCACAUACUUUCUACUUGUGCUUGAAUUCCAUGGACAGGAGGGAGACCAUGAAUUCUACCAGUGUCUGAGUGGUAGGAGUAGGAGUUGUUUUAUGUAGAGUGCUUAUUUUAGUGCAGAUUUGCAAGGGCCUUGGUGUAGUAAAUCAAGGUUACUGAGUCUCCCACCUUAAAGCCUGAAGUUCUGAGCCAUGGAAUAGGAGCCUGGCUGAUAAAAGGAGUAAUUGAAGAACAAUGAUAUGCUUCAUUUCCUUUUCUUGAAUCUAAGUUAUGCAGCGG
This 1491-nucleotide long non-coding RNA is filed under the name Fukomys damarensis (Damara mole-rat). Its description in RNAcentral is "lncRNA (ENSFDAG00000024155.1)". Lineage: Eukaryota; Metazoa; Chordata; Mammalia; Rodentia; Bathyergidae. The record is from RNAcentral.